GAUGAACGCUGGCGGCGUGCUUAACACAUGCAAGUCGAACGAUGAAGCUCAGCUUGCUGGGUGGAUUAGUGGCGAACGGGUGAGUAACACGUGAGUAACCUGCCCUUAACUCUGGGAUAAGCCUGGGAAACAAGGCCUAAUACCGGAUAGGAGCGCCUACCGCAUGGUGGGUGUUGGAAAGAUUUAGCGGUUUUGGAUGGACUCGCGGCCUAUCAGCUUGUCGGUGAGGUAUUGGCUCACCAAGGCGACGACGGGUAGCCGGCCUGUGAGGGUGACCGGCCACACUGGGACUGAGACACGGCCCAGACUCCUACGGGAGGCAGCAGUGGGGAAUAUUGCACAAUGGGCGAAAGCCUGAUGCAGCGACGCCGCGUGAGGGAUGACGGCCUUCGGGUUGUAAACCUCUUUCAGUAGGGAAGAAGCGAAAGUGACGGUACCUGCAGAAGAAGCACCGGCUAACUACGUG
RNAcentral lists this ribosomal RNA (466 nucleotides) under uncultured bacterium. Its description in RNAcentral is "partial 16S ribosomal RNA". It matches the Rfam family "Bacterial small subunit ribosomal RNA", at positions 28 to 507 of the family's 1533-position model. The record is from RNAcentral.